AGGACAAACGCUGGCGGCGUGCGUAACACACGCAAGUCGAACGCUCUGGUCUCUUUCGGGAGGGCAGGGAGUGGCGGACGGGUGAGGAACACAUGGGUAUCUACCUCCGGGUGGGGGAUACCGGCGAGAAAUCGCCGACAAUCCCGCAUAGCUUCGGGAACGAAGAAAGCAGCAAUGCGCCUGGGAUGAGCCUGUGGCCGAUUAGCUAGCUGGUGGGGUAAUGGCUCACCAGGGCGACGAUCGGUA
RNAcentral lists this ribosomal RNA (246 nucleotides) under uncultured bacterium. RNAcentral's name for it is "partial small subunit ribosomal RNA". It matches the Rfam family "Bacterial small subunit ribosomal RNA", at positions 26 to 285 of the family's 1533-position model. The record is from RNAcentral.